Long non-coding RNA from Drosophila montana, 3281 nucleotides. RefSeq lists it as uncharacterized. The transcript has 2 exons. The record is from RefSeq and is a predicted model, not a curated record. NCBI's taxonomy places the organism in Eukaryota, Metazoa, Arthropoda, Insecta, Diptera, Drosophilidae.
CCUCAAAUAUGCCACUAGGACAUGAAUAAAUAAACCACAGCAAUUAGAGAAAGCAGAAGCAAAUCAUCUAGAAGAUGCAUUCAAACAAUAAAGAAAACUAAAACAGACAAGUGCGUCGUGCCGCAGGUCUCAAAAAAUCGGUUAAUUGAAUCAAUCGAAAAGUGAUUAAAAAAAAAGAACUGCUACAAAUCGAACCAACUUUUAAUGAAUUCGCAAUUUGUGAUUGCUGUUGUGAUUGUGGUGUGCGUGUGUGUGGUGUGUGUUCAGGAUUUUAACACCUUGACACUACGGCAAAGCGUGUUUCACACAUUUCCAACAAAAUAACGCAAAUUAUAAAUAUGUAUAAAAAAAAUAUACAAAAUUGCUGAACAACUGUGAUGGACGUCAGACUCUGACACUUGACACGUGCUCAGUUGCAGGUAUAGCGCCAGGCAACGUAUGCAUAUAUCAGAGGGUCAGGGAUAAGUGUGAUGAAAAUCGAAAUGCAAUUAAGCAAAUUUAUCAAAUUAUAAUUAACACGAAUGCUACGCAAAACAUUAAUAAAGUGUUACUACUUCCACAAGGCAAAUGGCAAAUAGAGGGCAUACAGACGAGCUUCCAGCACAUUGAUGGAAAUAAUCAUCAAAUCAUGGUUUUAUAAUUAAGCAAAACAUUUUUAAUUAUGAACCCAGCGAUAAGUCCAGUAAGCAGGUAAUCCUUAAUUGUAGUUAGUAACGCCGUUUUUCUUGGUGUACCUCCUCAUAAAACAACUACUGAGCAAGGCUAGUUAAAGCUUCAUUCUCGAAACAAGUCUAUCAACUACUUUCUCAAUCAUUCGUCAAGGUCAUCAAAAGCCCGCCAAAAUUAUUUAGAUACACAUGUAUCUAAAGAAGUUGUAAGCAUUUGGUAUAUAUUAUGAAUGUACAUAUCUUAAAAAAAUACUCAAUUGGGGUAAAUUCUUUGGCGAUCAUGAUCUGAAGAAAGAGGAGUCUCCUGACCCAAUUUGUAUGCCCUGUACGCAGCUCUCUACUCAGUUUUAAUCUGAGGAAUCAAUGUCAUGCACAGACAAAAUAUGUAUGUUUGCAUCAAUAUAUGUGUAUAUAAAAUUUAUUAUGCAUUUUAAAAUUUAUAGAGCUAACAAUUAUCAUCAUCAAAAUUAACACCAGCCAGCUUACAUUAUUGUUGUCAAGCACGUUUGAACAAAUAGCAGAAUGUUAAAAUGGUUUGAUGUUGCGCUUGGUUCGAUGUUGUGUUGCUUGUAGCUUGUGAGAGUGUAACAGUGCCAUUGUGAGUUAGCAUUAACGUAAUACGCAAACUUCACUUUUAGUUUAUAUCCAAAAAAAUUAAAGAAGUUUUACCGUUUAUCAAUUAUUUAUGUGCUCAACUUAAAAGUAACUCAUUUGGAUAUGUUGCUCUCAAACACAUUGCGAACUUGGUAAAUUGGUUUAAUGUUGCGCGCUUGGUUCGAUGUUGUCUUGCAGCCGGUUGCUUGCCUAACAUUUCUGUGUUAACAAUAACAUACUAUGUAAACGUUGCUGUUAGUUGAAUUCAAAAAAAAUUUUGAAUUUCCGCCCGCCUGUUUCUCAAUUUUUUUCGUGUUUCUCAAUUCUUAUUUGGCGCUCGAUCGCGACGGUCACCACCAGUGCAACUGUUGCUCAUACAUUGAGUGUGCCAGUGUGCACACGCGUUCAUACAUUUGUAUGUAUGUGCGUAUUUCCGGUGUCAAAAAACUAUAAAACGAAUAAAGUGUAAAGAUUCAAUUAUCGGUUAUUCAUCAAAAUACCAAUCGUCAUAUACUUGCCUAUAUUUUAUAUAAAUAUAAUUGAAUCCGUGUCUGUAUGUGUGUGUGUGUGUGUGUGCUUGGCGUAACAACAGAAAUCGCGUUACUGUUGUGCGCGCAGCGACUGGCGCCAACAUCGAUUUAAUUAUAAAUACAUCAACAAUAAUAAUAACAAUAAUAGCACCAUCGUUGAUAUGUACAUAUGUAGAUACAUUCAUACACUCGUACACUCGUACAUACUGUGCACUAUUGUUACACACGCUGGUAGGCGUUGCUUUUUGCCAUAUUUCUCUCUCGUCGCCAUCACGCGCUGCGGUACAAAGUUAAACUCGCCGUUGGCGUCGGAAACACACCCGUAAAAAGCCAGCAGCUCAGUGCUGGGGUAUCUGCAUGCAUAAGGAAAUGUGUCACUAUGCAAUUGAAUAGAUUCGAACUGAAUUGGAAAUGGUUCAAAAUCAAAGCUCACAGAUGAACGAACUUUGGGAAUGGUUUCUGUUUCCAAGCUGAAGAAUAUCUACCUUCGGCUAAAUCAUAAUUAUACAUAAGAAUACCGUGUGCUACGCGAAACAAAAUAUAAGUUAUAAUAUAAUCUGUUUGCUUGCAAUUACUUAUUUGCAAGGACAUCUGUUCACAUCUUACCGGGCAGCAUUAGAUUCUUGAUUUAAAUAAUUCUAAUACUGUCAGGUAAAGAUGUCGUCCGUGUCCUUAUACAUCAUAAAACCACCAAAAAAAAAGAAGUUUUUUUUUUUUUUUGAAUGCAAUUUAAUUUGCGAAAAACCAUAGCCGAAAACGUAAAUCGUAAAACAAGUUUUUCAAUUGUGCGUGUAGGAAAACUUGCCAAGCCUGCGACUGCCGAAGGGCGACAGGCAGGGCAGCGCCGGGCAGGGCCGGGCAGGGCAGGGCAGGGCAGGGCAGGGCAAGAGGGCCCGCCAAACUGGCAGAUCUUCCUGCCUGCGACUGCGGAUGCCAUGGACGAACAACAGAAAAUUGGUCAAAAUGUUGUAUAUACCAGAAUACACAUAUGUAUAUAUAUUCUUUGCAGCAGCAGAGGCGCGUUUUUUUGGAUGACAUCAGUUGAGAGAUCUUCGAUGACACCGGGCUACUACUGCCUGUGCGUGUGUGUGUAUGUGUGUGUGUGUGUGUGUGUGUGUGGUGUGUUCAUGGAAAUGUUUUUUAUCUAAUCGCUGGCAUCAUCCUCAUCAUCAUUACUUUCGUUGGUCUCCUCUUCCGUGGCCUCCGCUUCGCUUUCGCUUUGUUUGGCCUUCUUGUUGGACGUUGGCUCAACUGUUUUGCUCUUCUUUUUGGCUGGCUCACUGUUGGACUUAUUGGCGUCCUCGGAGCUGGUUGAAUCAUCUUCGGAUAUGUAUUCCUUGCUCUUAAAACCACUGCCCGACGUGUUUGCCUUUUUCGUGGGUGAGGGCUCCGAGAUGCGUUUCUUAACCGGUUUGCUGCUGGGGCUCUCCUCAUUGUCGCUCCCGGCGCCGGCGCCUGGUUUGUAAUUGCGCAUCUCAUCCUGGUAGCG